AAAAAAAAAAAAAAAAAAUAAAAUAAAAUAAAAAAAAAAAAAUAAAAAAUAAAAAAAAAAUAUUGCAUGUUUUUUUUUUAUUUUUUUUUUUUUUUUUUUUUUAUGAUUAGGUUUUAUACAAUUAAAAAGUGAAAAAAGUUAUACACUAAAAAAAAAAAAAAAAAAAAAAAAAAAAAAAAAAAAAAAAAAAAAAAAAAAAAAAAAAAAAAAAAAAAAAAAAAAAAAAAAAAAACGGUGCAAGAAAAGAACAAUAAAAACAACAAAAAAGUAUUAAUUAAACGGAUAAUUAUAUAUCAUUCUUUCUUUUUCUUUGUUUGUCUAAUUAUCAGUCCUAAUUUAAAAUUAUUUGUGUUAUGUCUAUUUUUUAUUUUUUUUAUUUUAUUAUUUGUUUGUAUACUAUAAUUGUUUAUGUGAUUGAUAAACUUAAUUACUAGCUAUGAUGAUAAUUUUUUUCAUAUUUGUCUAUACAUUUACAUUCAUAUUCUACAUUUACUACAUCUACUACAUCUACU
RNAcentral lists this long non-coding RNA (512 nucleotides) under Piliocolobus tephrosceles (Ugandan red Colobus). RNAcentral describes it as "lncRNA (ENSPTEG00000020031.1)". The record is from RNAcentral. Lineage: Eukaryota; Metazoa; Chordata; Mammalia; Primates; Cercopithecidae.